This 497-nucleotide ribosomal RNA is filed under the name uncultured bacterium. Its description in RNAcentral is "partial 16S ribosomal RNA". It matches the Rfam family "Bacterial small subunit ribosomal RNA", at positions 28 to 507 of the family's 1533-position model. The record is from RNAcentral.
GAUGAACGCUGGCGGCGUGCCUAAUACAUGCAAGUCGAGCGAACGGACGAGAAGCUUGCUUCUCUGAUGUUAGCGGCGGACGGGUGAGUAAAACGUGGAUAACCUACCUAUAAGACUGGGAUAACUUCGGGACACCGGAGCUAAUACCGGAUAAUAUUUUGAACCGCAUGGUUCAAAAGUGAAAGACAGUCUUGCUGUCACUUAUAGAUGGAUCCGCGCUGCAUUAGCUAGUUGGUAAGGUAACGGCUUACCAAGGCAACGAUGCAUAGCCGACCUGAGAGGGUGAUCGGCCACACUGGAACUGAGACACGGUCCAGACUCCUACGGGAGGCAGCAGUAGGGAAUCUUGCGCAAUGGGCGAAAGCCUGACGGAGCAACGCCGCGUGAGUGAUGAAGGUCUUCGGAUCGUAAAACUCUGUGAUUAGGGAAGAACAUAUGUGUAAGUAACUGUGCACAUCUUGACGGUACCUUAUCAGAAAGCCACGGCUAACUACGUG